This 405-nucleotide ribosomal RNA is filed under the name uncultured bacterium. RNAcentral's name for it is "bacterial SSU rRNA". It matches the Rfam family "Bacterial small subunit ribosomal RNA", at positions 30 to 464 of the family's 1533-position model. The record is from RNAcentral.
CGUACGCUGGCGGCACGCCUAACACAUGCAAGUCGAACGCAGUAGCAAUACUGAGUGGCAGACGGGUGAGUAACAUGUGGGAAUCUGCCUUGUGGUUCAGGACAACAUUGGGAAACCGAUGCUAAUACUGGAUAAGCCCUUACGGGGAAAGUUUUAAUGCCAUAAGAUGAGCCCGCACUUGAUUAGUUAGUUGGUGAGGUAAUGGCUCACCAAGACAAUGAUCAAUAGCUGAUCUGAGAGGAUGAUCAGCCACACUGGGACUGAGACACGGCCCAGACUCCUACGGGAGGCAGCAGUGAGGAAUAUUGCGCAAUGGGCGAAAGCCUGACGCAGCCAUGCCGCGUGUGUGAAGAAGGCCUUCGGUUGUAAAACCCUGUCGUUAGGGACGAAGGCAUGAAUCCUAAU